Molecule: long non-coding RNA, 1025 nt
Filed under: Phasianus colchicus (ring-necked pheasant)
Lineage: Eukaryota; Metazoa; Chordata; Aves; Galliformes; Phasianidae
Description: lncRNA (ENSPCLG00000002753.1)
Source: RNAcentral
UAUAAUUCUAUUAGAAUGAGGAGACGCAGAUGCUGCAUUCUAGAUGAUGAUGUUUGUUGUCAUGUCAUUCCUACACACUGCAUAAGCACAUCCUGGCACUUCCCUCAUUGUCUGAAACCAGUCUUUUAUUCCCUUUGGCUGAUUCAUGGAAUGAUCAGCUGGUAAGGCAGUAAGAGCAGGAACACAGGUCUGAGGAAAGUGGCAAUCUGAAAGGCAAAACAGAAGUAUGAAACUACAGCAACAGUCAAGAAAUAAGACUUGCAAUCUGAUGAUACCUGUGUAAGCAGUCAUAGAAUCAUGGAAUCAGAGAAUCAUUAAGGUUGGAAAAGACCUCUAAUGUCAUCUAGUCCAACAUCAAACCAUCACCAACGUGCUCACUAACCAUGUCCCUUAAUGCUGCCUGAAAAUUUACACAUUUCUUGAACACCUUCAAGGACAGUGAUUCCUUCAAGGACAAUGGUUCCAUAACUUCCCCAGGCAGCCUGUUCCAAUGCUUGACCGCUUUUUCACAGAGGAAAUUUCUUCUGAUAUCCAGUCUGAACUUUUCCUGGCACAACUUGAAGCUAUUAUCUCUCCUCAUAUCACCAGUUAACUGGGAGACCCUAUGCCAAAUGGAAUUAGAAAUUUCUAAUCUUUUUUUUUUAAUGAUGUUUUGAUUUUUUUUUUUAAUAGACAAAAGCAGUUUGCCAUGUAUGAUGGUUAGUGUGCCUGUAAAUUAGAUGUUUAAUUCAAGUAGUUAAUUUAAGGGUGUAAAUUCUACGUUUCAAACAUUUCAUUUGGCUUUACAUUUGAUCUGCCUUUUGUCUUACACUGUGCUGUCUGAUCACGAGUUACAGUUUGCUUUUCUUGUCCUAACUUCCAAGUUCAAGCUAUAAAACCCAGUCUUAAAAAAACAUAGGGAAGUCUGCAAGUCUUUCUAUUGACUAUAGUUGGUAGAGUAAGACCAAUAUGAGCUGUACUGUGGACUUAACUACGUUGUUAGUAGAUAUGCUUCUGAGUGGUCUCACUCAUAGUAGGAUAGUAGC